This 496-nucleotide ribosomal RNA is filed under the name uncultured bacterium. RNAcentral describes it as "partial 16S ribosomal RNA". It matches the Rfam family "Bacterial small subunit ribosomal RNA", at positions 30 to 523 of the family's 1533-position model. The record is from RNAcentral.
AUUGAACGCUGGCGGAAUGCUUUACACAUGCAAGUCGAACGGUAGAGGGGGCAACCCCUCGAGAGUGGCGAACGGGUGAGUAAUAUAUCGGAACGUGCCCAGUCGUGGGGGAUAACGUAGCGAAAGUUACGCUAAUAUCGCAUACGAUCUAAGGAUGAAAGCGGGGGAUCGCAAGACCUCGCGCGAUCGGAGCGGCCGAUAUCAGAUUAGGUAGUUGGUGGGGUAAAGGCUCACCAAGCCAACGAUCUGUAGCUGGUCUGAGAGGACGACCAGCCACACUGGAACUGAGACACGGUCCAGACUCCUACGGGAGGCAGCAGUGGGGAAUUUUGGACAAUGGACGCAAGUCUGAUCCAGCCAUUCCGCGUGCAGGAUGAAGGCCCUCGGGUUGUAAACUGCUUUUGUACGGAACGAAAAGGUCUCUCUUAAUACGGGGGACUCAUGACGGUACCGUAAGAAUAAGCACCGGCUAACUACGUGCCAGCCGCCGCAGUAA